RNAcentral lists this transfer RNA (73 nucleotides) under Bos taurus (domestic cattle). It matches the Rfam family "tRNA". From Rfam's summary of the family: Transfer RNA (tRNA) molecules are approximately 80 nucleotides in length. Their secondary structure includes four short double-helical elements and three loops (D, anti-codon, and T loops). RNAcentral also lists the same sequence under 6 other names. Lineage: Eukaryota; Metazoa; Chordata; Mammalia; Artiodactyla; Bovidae. The record is from Rfam by way of RNAcentral.
UCUCUGGUGGUCCAGUGGUUAGGGCUCUGUGCUUCCACUACAGGGGAUAUAGGUUUGAUCCCUGGUUGGGGAA